CAGAAACCAGAGGCAAACCCCAUUCGUCGUCUCUCACCCUCAAGAUGCAGAUCUUUGUGAAAACCCUCACAGGCAAGACCAUCACCCUUGAGGUUGAAAGCUCUGACACUAUUGACAAUGUCAAAGCAAAGAUCCAAGACAAGGAGGGAAUUCCCCCGGACCGACAAAGGCUGAUCUUUGCUGGCAAGCAGCUUGAGGACGGGCGGACACUCGCUGAAUACAACAUCCAAAAAGAGUCCACUCUCCACUUGGUUCUCAGACUCCGUGGUGGCAUGCAGAUCUUUGUUAAGACUCUCACAGGGAAGACCAUCACAUUGAGGUUGAGAGUUCUGAUACAAUCGAUAAUGUCAAGGCAAAGAUCCAGGACAAGGAGGGCAUACCCCCAGAUCAGCAGAGGCUCAUCUUUGCCGGCAAACAGCUAGAGGAUGGCCGCACCCUUGCCGAUUACAAUAUCCAAAAGGAGUCUACUCUUCACCUGGUGCUCCGUCUGCGUGGUGGAAUGCAGAUCUUUGUAAAGACGCUUACUGGGAAGACAAUCACCUUGGAGGUGGAAAGCUCCGAUACAAUUGACAAUGUCAAGGCAAAAAUCCAGGACAAGGAGGGUAUCCCCCCAGAUCAGCAGAGGCUCAUCUUUGCAGGUAAACAGUUGGAGGACGGAAGAACUCUUGCAGACUACAACAUUCAAAAGGAAUCUACCUUGCACUUGGUUCUCCGUCUGCGUGGUGGAAUGCAAAUUUUUGUGAAGACUUUGACCGGGAAAACCAUUACUUUGGAAGUGGAAAGCUCAGACACAAUUGAUAACGUCAAGGCAAAGAUUCAGGACAAAGAAGGCAUUCCCCCAGACCAGCAGAGGCUUAUCUUUGCAGGAAAGCAGCUUGAGGACGGCAGGACACUGGCAGAUUACAACAUUCAGAAAGAGUCGACUCUGCAUUUGGUGCUCCGUCUACGUGGUGGGAUGCAGAUCUUUGUGAAGACACUUACUGGAAAGACCAUAACCUUGGAGGUAGAGAGUUCUGAUACAAUUGAUAAUGUGAAAGCAAAGAUUCAGGACAAGGAAGGCAUUCCUCCAGACCAGCAGAGGCUCAUAUUUGCUGGUAAGCAGCUUGAAGAUGGGAGGACUCUGGCGGAUUACAACAUUCAAAAGGAGUCGACCCUUCACCUUGUCCUUCGCCUCCGUGGUGGUUUCUGAAGUUCUGAGUGAUCGUGGUGGUGCCAUCCAUUCUGCUUUGUUUCCAGUUCUAUUUGGCUGUUUGCCUGUUAUUCGUACUCUUUAGUUUUAUGUGGUUAUGUACUCAAUAAUUCUUACUCUUUAAAAUGGCCAAUGGAUGGCUCAUCUGAUGACUGUUUUCUAAUUAUAGUUGUUAAGUUGAAUAAAUGGCAAAGACAUUUUGUCCAUUUGCUCUCUGUUUGCAUUUAUAUAAUUCCAUUCCAUCAAGAUUGCAUCUCCUCUCUUAU
Molecule: RNA transcript, 1455 nt
Organism: Fragaria vesca subsp. vesca
Lineage: Eukaryota; Viridiplantae; Streptophyta; Magnoliopsida; Rosales; Rosaceae
Gene name: polyubiquitin-like
Exons: 2
Source: RefSeq, a predicted model, not a curated record